This 207-nucleotide ribosomal RNA is filed under the name uncultured bacterium. Its description in RNAcentral is "partial 16S ribosomal RNA". It matches the Rfam family "Bacterial small subunit ribosomal RNA", at positions 568 to 774 of the family's 1533-position model. The record is from RNAcentral.
CGCGUAGGCGGGGAGGUAAGUCGGGUGUGAAAUCCCUCGGCCCAACCGAGGAACUGCGCCCGAGACUGCUUCUCUUGAGUCCCGGAGGGGAAGAUGGAAUUCCCGGUGUAGCGGUGAAAUGUGUAGAGAUCGGGAGGAACACCGGUGGCGAAGGCGGUCUUCUGGACGGUGACUGACGCUGAGGCGCGAAAGCGUGGGGAGCAAACG